AAUCAACGCUGGCGGCGUGCCUAACACAUGCAAGUCGAACGCGAAAGCCCCGCAAGGGGUAAGUAGAGUGGCAAACGGGUGAGUAACACGUGGGUGACCUGCCUUCGAGUGGGGGAUAACGUCCCGAAAGGGACGCUAAUACCGCAUGACAUCCUGCUUUUGAAAAAGCGGAGAUCAAAGCUGGGGAUCGCAAGACCUAGCGCUUGAAGAGGGGCCCGCGCCUGAUUAGCUAGUUGGUGAGGUAACGGCUCACCAAGGCGACGAUCAGUAUCCGGCCUGAGAGGGCGGUCGGACGCACUGGGACUUAGACACGGCCCAGACUCCUACGGGAGGCAGCAGUGGGGAAUUGUUCGCAAUGGGCGCAAGCCUGACGACGCAACGCCGCGUGGAGGACGAAGCUCUUCGGGUCGUAAACUCCUGCCGAGCGGGACGAACGCUUCGCGGAUGAAUAAUCCGCGGAAUUGACGGUACCGCUAAAGUAAGCCCCGGCUAACUCCGUG
RNAcentral lists this ribosomal RNA (500 nucleotides) under uncultured bacterium. Its description in RNAcentral is "partial 16S ribosomal RNA". It matches the Rfam family "Bacterial small subunit ribosomal RNA", at positions 32 to 507 of the family's 1533-position model. The record is from RNAcentral.